AGUGUAUUGGCACAUAAAAUAUUACCUUCUCUACUCUUCCUUCUUCACUUAUCCCGCUUCUUUCUCCAAACACCGUCGGAGAUGACUCAUCGCGACCUCUGUAACUCAGCUCACCGGAGACACAAGCACCCCCACCCUUGGUUGGACACCCACAACCACUUCGGCUACAGAAGUUCAAAUUGCUAAUGCUGUAUGCAUUGGAUGUUGGACAACCAAAUGUUGAGGAAACAAAUGAGGAUUCAGACUUGUACUUAGAGCCAUCCAUCACCUAUAUAUAGAAUUAGAAACUAUACCCAUCUGAAAAUGAUUGCUUAUUUAUUUAAAAGAUCCUAAAUAUUGCAUGGAAAAUGCCUUCAACACUUAUUUCGUACGCUUGCAAAUUGAGACAUCAGGGAAGGGAAAUGCCACAUGGUGGUGAUCUUUGGUGGAUUGAAAUAUUAGAAACAAGUGGUCAACAUAAAGAGGGUGUUGGUGCUUACUUUUGUAUCUCAGACGAGGUCAACAACUUGAAAUUGUUGGAUGACAUGGCAGAAUUGAGUUCAGCCUACUGUGUUCCACAACUAUAUAAAAGAGUAUAUGAUGGAUGGGUGUUAUGAACGCGGUGAAGAGGCAAAAAGCAUUUUUUAAAGGUGCAUCACCUUCCCCUUGUCUCCAGAUGUCAUGGAUUGUAAGUUAUUUUUAGGGCUAAAUGCAAUAUAUAACAACUUGCUUUCAUUCAUUUGUGUUUUAUUUCAGCAUGCUAGUUUCAUUUCUUUCUAUUACAACAUUCUACUUUCAACUUUUUCAUAUGAAGACACUGUACUUUGAAAAAUAUACUACUUUUAGCUAUUUUAUUAUUAGGACAUUAUACUUUUAUAGAUGUUUAUAGCAUUGUACUUUCAUCUUUCUUUUUAUCAGGGCAUUCUGCUCUAAAAAAUUAUACCCAAUCAUAUCAUUUUCUUAAUAUUGUGACAUUUAAGUAUCGUCCUUCCAUUUAUUUCUGUUGUUUCACCAUUGUAAUUUCAACUUAUUAUUAUUAUUAUUAUAAAGGUGUUGCAUUAUAAAGUUCUAUGCAUUUAUAGCGUUGUACUUGUAAUAUUUCUUGUUAGGACAUCAUACUUUCAAUCCAAUCAUAGCAAUGGAAAUUGCUUUGCUUUGUGUUUUGAUGGCAUUGGUAUAAUUCAGUGGAU
This is a non-coding RNA of Lactuca sativa (garden lettuce), 1169 nucleotides long. The record is from RefSeq and is a predicted model, not a curated record. Lineage: Eukaryota; Viridiplantae; Streptophyta; Magnoliopsida; Asterales; Asteraceae.